GGUUAAGCGACUAAGCGUACACGGUGGAUGCCCUGGCAGUCAGAGGCGAUGAAGGACGUGCUAAUCUGCGAAAAGCGUCGGUAAGGUGAUAUGAACCGUUACAGCCGGCGAUGUCCGAAUGGGGAAACCCAGUGUGAUUCGUCACACUAUCGUUAACUGAAUACAUAGGUUAACGAGGCGAACCGGGGAACUGAAACAUCUAAGUACCCCGAGGAAAAGAAAUCAACCGAGAUUCCCCCAGUAGCGGCGAGCGAACGGGGAGCAGCCCAGAGUCUGAAUCAGCUUGUGUGUUAGUGGAACGGUCUGGAAAGUCCGACGGUACAGGGUGAUAGUCCCGUACACCAAAAUGCACAGGCUGUGAACUCGAAGAGUAGGGCGGGACACGUGGUAUCCUGUCUGAAUAUGGGGGACCAUCCUCCAAGGCUAAAUACUCCUGACUGACCGAUAGUGAACCAGUACCGUGAGGGAAAGGCGAAAAGAACCCCGGCGAGGGGAGUGAAAAAGAACCUGAAACCGUGUACGUACAAGCAGUGGGAGCACCUUCGGGUGUGACUGCGUACCUUUUGUAUAAUGGGUCAGCGACUUAUAUUCUGUAGCAAGGUUAACCGUAUAGGGGAGCCGCAGGGAAACCGAGUCUUAACUGGGCGUUAAGUUGCAGGGUAUAGACCCGAAACCCGGUGAUCUAGCCAUGGGCAGGUUGAAGGUUGGGUAACACUAACUGGAGGACCGAACCGACUAAUGUUGAAAAAUUAGCGGAUGACUUGUGGCUGGGGGUGAAAGGCCAAUCAAACCGGGAGAUAGCUGGUUCUCCCCGAAAGCUAUUUAGGUAGCGCCUCGUGAAUUCAUCUUCGGGGGUAGAGCACUGUUUCGGCUAGGGGGUCAUCCCGACUUACCAACCCGAUGCAAACUACGAAUACCGAAGAAUGUUAUCACGGGAGACACACGGCGGGUGCUAACGUCCGUCGUGAAGAGGGAAACAACCCAGACCGCCAGCUAAGGUCCCAAAGUCAUGGUUAAGUGGGAAACGAUGUGGGAAGGCACAGACAGCCAGGAUGUUGGCUUAGAAGCAGCCAUCAUUUAAAGAAAGCGUAAUAGCUCACUGGUCGAGUCGGCCUGCGCGGAAGAUGUAACGGGGCUAAACCAUGCACCGAAGCUGCGGCAGCGACACUAUGUGUUGUUGGGUAGGGGAGCGUUCUGUAAGCCUGCGAAGGUGACCUGUGAGGGUUGCUGGAGGUAUCAGAAGUGCGAAUGCUGACAUAAGUAACGAUAAAGCGGGUGAAAAGCCCGCUCGCCGGAAGACCAAGGGUUCCUGUCCAACGUUAAUCGGGGCAGGGUGAGUCGACCCCUAAGGCGAGGCCGAAAGGCGUAGUCGAUGGGAAACAGGUUAAUAUUCCUGUACUUGGUGUUACUGCGAAGGGGGACGGAGAAGGCUAUGUUAGCCGGGCGACGGUUGUCCCGGUUUAAGCAUGUAGGCUGGUUGUCCAGGCAAAUCCGGAUAAUCAAGGCUGAGGUGUGAUGACGAGGCACUACGGUGCUGAAGUAACAAAUGCCCUGCUUCCAGGAAAAGCCUCUAAGCAUCAGGUAACAUCAAAUCGUACCCCAAACCGACACAGGUGGUCAGGUAGAGAAUACCAAGGCGCUUGAGAGAACUCGGGUGAAGGAACUAGGCAAAAUGGUGCCGUAACUUCGGGAGAAGGCACGCUGGUGUGUAGGUGAAGUCCCUGCGGAUGGAGCUGAGACCAGUCGAAGAUACCAGCUGGCUGCAACUGUUUAUUAAAAACACAGCACUGUGCAAACACGAAAGUGGACGUAUACGGUGUGACGCCUGCCCGGUGCCGGAAGGUUAAUUGAUGGGGUUAUCCGUAAGGAGAAGCUCUUGAUCGAAGCCCCGGUAAACGGCGGCCGUAACUAUAACGGUCCUAAGGUAGCGAAAUUCCUUGUCGGGUAAGUUCCGACCUGCACGAAUGGCGUAAUGAUGGCCAGGCUGUCUCCACCCGAGACUCAGUGAAAUUGAACUCGCUGUGAAGAUGCAGUGUACCCGCGGCAAGACGGAAAGACCCCGUGAACCUUUACUAUAGCUUGACACUGAACAUUGAGCCUUGAUGUGUAGGAUAGGUGGGAGGCUUUGAAGCGUGGACGCCAGUCUGCGUGGAGCCAACCUUGAAAUACCACCCUUUAAUGUUUGAUGUUCUAACGUUGGCCCCUUACCGGGGUUGCGGACAGUGUCUGGUGGGUAGUUUGACUGGGGCGGUCUCCUCCCAAAGCGUAACGGAGGAGCACGAAGGUUAGCUAAUCCUGGUCGGACAUCAGGAGGUUAGUGCAAUGGCAUAAGCUAGCUUGACUGCGAGCGUGACGGCGCGAGCAGGUGCGAAAGCAGGUCAUAGUGAUCCGGUGGUUCUGAAUGGAAGGGCCAUCGCUCAACGGAUAAAAGGUACUCCGGGGAUAACAGGCUGAUACCGCCCAAGAGUUCAUAUCGACGGCGGUGUUUGGCACCUCGAUGUCGGCUCAUCACAUCCUGGGGCUGAAGUAGGUCCCAAGGGUAUGGCUGUUCGCCAUUUAAAGUGGUACGCGAGCUGGGUUUAGAACGUCGUGAGACAGUUCGGUCCCUAUCUGCCGUGGGCGCUGGAGAAUUGAGGGGGCUGCUCCUAGUACGAGAGGACCGGAGUGGACGCAUCACUGGUGUUCGGGUUGUCAUGCCAAUGGCACUGCCCGGUAGCUAAAUGCGGAAGAGAUAAGUGCUGAAAGCAUCUAAGCACGAAACUUGCCCCGAGAUGAGUUCUCCCUGAGACUUUAAGUCUCCUGAAGGAACGUUAAAGACGAUGACGUUGAUAGGCCGGGUGUGUAAGCGCAGCGAUGCGUUGAGCUAACCGGUACUAAUGAACCGUGAGGCUUAACCUU
Molecule: ribosomal RNA, 2898 nt
Filed under: Klebsiella pneumoniae
Lineage: Bacteria; Pseudomonadati; Pseudomonadota; Gammaproteobacteria; Enterobacterales; Enterobacteriaceae
Description: 23S ribosomal RNA
Rfam family: Bacterial large subunit ribosomal RNA
Source: RNAcentral